UGCGUAGGCGGGGCAAUUAGUCAGUGGUGAAAUCCUGCGGCUUAGCCGUAGAACUGCCAUUGAUACUGUUGCCCUUGAGUAUAGUUGAGGUGGGCGGAAUGUGUAAUGUAGCGGUGAAAUGCAUAGAGAUUACACAGAACACCAAUUGCGAAGGCAGCUCACUAAGCUAUAACUGACGCUGAGGCACGAAAGCGUGGGGAGCGAACAGGAUUAGAUACCCUGGUAGUCC
RNAcentral lists this ribosomal RNA (229 nucleotides) under uncultured bacterium. Its description in RNAcentral is "partial 16S ribosomal RNA". It matches the Rfam family "Bacterial small subunit ribosomal RNA", at positions 568 to 796 of the family's 1533-position model. The record is from RNAcentral.